GGAUGUGAGGGCAAUCUGGCUGCAACAUCUGUCACCCCCUUGAUUGCCAGGGUUGAUUCGACUAAUCUGGCUGGCUAGGCAGGUGUCCCCUUCCUCCCUCAGCGCUGCAUGAGCAUCCCUCCCGAAGCUGUGCGCUCAGUUGAAGAGGACGGCCUUCCCUGAAUAGAGGAGGGCUGGUCUUCUGUCAAGGGUAUAUGAGUAGCUGCGCUCCCUUGCUAGAACCUCCAAACAAGCUCUCAAAUAAAUAAAUAAAAGUAUUAGAGAGUAUAACCAUACCG
RNAcentral lists this small nuclear RNA (278 nucleotides) under Jaculus jaculus (lesser Egyptian jerboa). Its description in RNAcentral is "7SK RNA (ENSJJAG00000008133.1)". It matches the Rfam family "7SK RNA", at positions 1 to 280 of the family's 331-position model. From Rfam's summary of the family: 7SK was discovered as an abundant small nuclear RNA in the mid-70s but a possible function has only recently been suggested. The record is from Rfam by way of RNAcentral. Lineage: Eukaryota; Metazoa; Chordata; Mammalia; Rodentia; Dipodidae.